AUUGAACGCUGGCGGCAGGCCUAACACAUGCAAGUCGAGCGGAUGAAGGGAGCUUGCUCCUGGAUUCAGCGGCGGACGGGUGAGUAAUGCCUAGGAAUCUGCCUGGUAGUGGGGGAUAACGUCCGGAAACGGGCGCUAAUACCGCAUACGUCCUGAGGGAGAAAGUGGGGGCUCUUCGGACCUCACGCUAUCAGAUGAGCCUAGGUCGGAUUAGCUAGUUGGUGGGGUAAAGGCCUACCAAGGCGACGAUCCGUAACUGGUCUGAGAGGAUGAUCAGUCACACUGGAACUGAGACACGGUCCAGACCCCUACGGGAGGCAGCAGUGGGGAAUAUUGGACAAUGGGCGAAAGCCUGAUCCAGCCAUGCCGCGUGUGUGAAGAAGGUCUUCGGAUUGUAAAGCACUUUAAGUUGGGAGGAAGGGCAGUAAGUUAAUACCUUGCUGUUUUGACGUUACCAACAGAAUAAGCACCGGCUAACUUCGUG
This 484-nucleotide ribosomal RNA is filed under the name uncultured bacterium. Its description in RNAcentral is "partial 16S ribosomal RNA". It matches the Rfam family "Bacterial small subunit ribosomal RNA", at positions 30 to 507 of the family's 1533-position model. The record is from RNAcentral.